CUUUUUUCCCCUCUCGGAUGACGUGACCGGCCUUCCUUUCCCCACCGACCCCCCGCCCCCCCAUACGUGGAGAGGCCUAUGCACGUCCCUUCCCCUUGGUCCGCCGCCCCGCUCUCCCCUUAGGUCUACGAGGUGGGGGUUUAAGUAGGCCUCGACUGAUGUCUUAAAGGAGACGACGCCGCCGGGAAGAAGGUUUCUUGUGUCAACUUCAAGGCUUGGAUCACCCGACCUUUGCUAGUCCUGAUGUAUGGAUCAUCGAGUAUAGACAACAGCAUGGAUUUUGAGAGCCCUGACGUCGAGAGAGAGUUUCCAGGCCUCUAUGGCUCAGAGUCCUCGAGGCGAAGCGACAGUGACUUGUAAGCACGUGACUGAGUGGCAGAGGUGAUAUGCUUGAUGGUCUAAUUUGCAUGUCACUCAUAAGCUAGAGCAGAUGGGGACAGUAGUGAACCUGACCAUCAUCAUGGGCAUCAUAUCAUCUAAUUUUGAAUAUAUACCUG
Long non-coding RNA from Penaeus monodon (black tiger shrimp), 497 nucleotides. RefSeq lists it as uncharacterized. The record is from RefSeq and is a predicted model, not a curated record. NCBI's taxonomy places the organism in Eukaryota, Metazoa, Arthropoda, Malacostraca, Decapoda, Penaeidae. The transcript has 4 exons.